This 1126-nucleotide long non-coding RNA is filed under the name Monodelphis domestica (gray short-tailed opossum). RNAcentral describes it as "lncRNA (ENSMODG00000034293.2)". The record is from RNAcentral. Lineage: Eukaryota; Metazoa; Chordata; Mammalia; Didelphimorphia; Didelphidae.
GUGUCAGUCACUGAAACUGAGUAUCAAAAUAAGCUCAACUCAGAAUCAUGUGCAUACAUCUAUAUCUAUCCACCUCAAUGAACAAAUAUUCAUAUGAUCAAUUUUUUACUGGUGAAGAAAAUUCACUUUUUUGGGGGGAAAGAAUUUCCAGGGAGGAUGAUCAUAGGAGUUCCUUGAAACUUCAUGAGCAUAAAUGGAGACCCCUGCAAGCAGAGAAUUAUUGCAGAUCUAUCAGUGCUCCCAGACUGCCAGUUGGUAGUCUGUUACAUGACAGGAUGUCCCAGUACAGCUCAGGUGAAACCAGAUCUGGCCCAACCUUGCUCCUGCAACACAGAAUUCUACCUAGAUUUUGUCUCUGGAGUCAUCUUUCAAAAAUCCAAGGGUGAAUGAAUUAUCCAUGAUCCACAUUGUUCCAGUGGGGCAACAAGUACACAGAAUGAAUUUUCAAGAAUGGCCAGAGAAGAUACCUACCCACAUAUACCAAAGUCCUUGGGGAAAGAAAUAAGGGAAGAAGGCAUCUUCCUCACAUUGUGGGAUCACAAACCAGCAAUGAGAGAAAACAGGGAAGAUGCUGAAGUCAAUCAAUAUACCAUCAGUUGAAAAGGAUUCACAAUACCUGUAGUCUCUGAAUUGAUCAUUCUUAUGGUUUUUCGUCUUUCACUCUAUUUUUGAAUUAGGACCUUUUGUCUAGUGAUGAUUCUAGUUACCUAAUUCUCAGGAUUUUCUUUUAGACAAUAUUGUUUAUAGUCUCUAUACUUCCCUAUGUGGUCCCAGUCAUUGACUUCUUUUGUCUCUGGAAGCAGCAGUAACCCCAGUCAAAAGGAUUUUUAUGGUUUAUCCAAAAAUUGUCAUUACUUUUUCUCUCCCAUGGGGGAGAAGAGGGGGGUCACAUAAAAAUAAGGUGACACAAGAUUUUUGUGUAAAUACUGAAUGUAAUUCUCAUUUGAUUUCUACCUUUUGCCCCCUGCCCCUAUACAUUUGCAAAAAACCCUAGAGAAUCUAUUUUCAAGCCAUUUUCAGAUUAAGAUGUAGAACACUUAUUUCUUGAGUUUUCUAUUUAUUUCCUCUUCUUACAUAUGACAAGACUGUCAAAGGGUGGUGACUUUUUUUUAUCAUAGCAACUCUG